UACGGAGGGUGCAAGCGUUAUUCGGAAUUAUUGGGCGUAAAGGGCGUGUAGGCGGCCAGAUAAGUCAGAUGUGAAAGCCCAGGGCUCAACCCUGGAAGUGCAUUUGAAACUAUUUGGCUUGAGUACCGGAGAGGGUGGCGGAAUUCCCGGUGUAGAGGUGAAAUUCGUAGAUAUCGGGAGGAACACCGGUGGCGAAGGCGGGUCUCUGGGCCGUAACUGACGCUGAGGAGCGAAAGCGUGGGGAGCGAAC
RNAcentral lists this ribosomal RNA (250 nucleotides) under uncultured bacterium. RNAcentral describes it as "partial 16S ribosomal RNA". It matches the Rfam family "Bacterial small subunit ribosomal RNA", at positions 524 to 773 of the family's 1533-position model. The record is from RNAcentral.